AACGAACGCUGGCGGCAUGCCUAACACAUGCAAGUCGAACGAGACCUUCGGGUCUAGUGGCGCACGGGUGCGUAACGCGUGGGAACCUGCCCUUAGGUUCGGAAUAACUCCCCGAAAGGGGUGCUAAUACCGGAUAAUGUCUUCGGACCAAAGAUUUAUCGCCUUUGGAUGGGCCCGCGUUUGAUUAGCUAGUUGGUAGGGUAAAAGCCUACCAAGGCGACGAUCCAUAGCUGGUUUGAGAGGAUGAUCAGCCACACUGGGACUGAGACACGGCCCAGACUCCUACGGGAGGCAGCAGUGGGGAAUAUUGGACAAUGGGCGAAAGCCUGAUCCAGCAAUGCCGCGUGAGUGAUGAAGGCCUUAGGGUUGUAAAGCUCUUUUACCCGGGAUGAUAAUGACAGUACCGGGAGAAUAAGCUCCGGCUAACUCCGUG
Molecule: ribosomal RNA, 433 nt
Filed under: uncultured bacterium
Lineage: Bacteria
Description: partial 16S ribosomal RNA
Rfam family: Bacterial small subunit ribosomal RNA
Source: RNAcentral